CAUAUAGAUGAGUCGACAUCCUGCUCCUUCAUAUAGAUGAGUCAACAUCCUGCUCCUUCAUAUAGAUGAGUCAACAUCCUGCUCCUUCAUAUAGAUGAGUCAACACCCUAAACACGCUACUCGUGGUUCUGGGAGGGUGUUUGGAUUCGAAGAAUGGAAUGUUACAAGGAACUAAGGCUAGCAGGGAGACUCUAGUCUGAUUCUGGACACUAGAUUUAGAAUCUAUUCUCUACACUGCAUCUUCCUUGUCUUUUUAUAUCUCAAUGUGAACAAAAUGAAGGAAAUGUAUGUUUUGAAAAUGUGUAAUUAAUUGUAUCCAUUAUUUAACUCAUAAUUGACUAUUUGUUAUGUGUGUAGAUCAUUUGUUGUAAAAUGUCAUAUUGUUUAUACUGUGACUCCUAUCUCAUGUCUUAAUGGCCUGAUUGUGUUAGUACAGUGAUAGAUGAGAGCGUGUGGCUGGCUCCCUCCCUCCCAUCCCCAGCUCAGCCCUAGUCCCAUCUCCAGCUCAGCCCUAGUCCCAUCUCCAGCUCAGCCCUAGUCCCAUCUCCAGCUCAGCCCUAGUCCCAUCUCCAGCUCAGCCCUAGUCCCAUCUCCAGCUCCACCCUAGUCCCAUCCCCAGCCCUAGUCCCAUCCCCAGCUCAGCCCUAUUCCCAUCCCCAGCCCUAGUCCCAUCCCCAGCUCAGCCCUAGUCCCAGCCCUAGUCCCAUCCCCAGCUCAGCCUUAGUCCCAUCCCCAGCUCAGCCCUAGUCCCAUCCCCAGCUCAGCCCUAGUCCCAUCCCCAGUCCUAGUCCCAUCCCCAGCUCAGCCCUAGUCCCAUCCCCAGCUCAGCCCUAGUCCCAUCCCCAGCUCAGCCCUAGUCCCAUCCCCAGCCCUAGUCCCAUCCCCAGCCCUAGUCCCAUCCCCAGCUCUAGUCCCAUCCCCAGCUCAGCACUAGUCCCAUCCCCAGCCCUAGUCCCAUCCCCAGCUCAGCCCUAGUCCCAUCCCCAGCCCUAGUCCCAUCCCCAGCUCAGCCUUAGUCCCAUCCCCAGCUCAGCCCUAGUCCCAUCCCCAGCUCAGCCCUAGUCCCAUCCCCAGCUCAGCCCUAGUCCCAUCCCCAGUCCUAGUCCCAUCCCCAGCUCAGCCCUAGUCCCAUCCCCAGCUCAGCCCUAGUCCCAUCCCCAGCUCAGCCCUAGUCCCAUCCCCAGCCCUACCCUAGUCCCAUCCCCAGACCUAGUCCCAUCCCCAGCUCAGACCUAGUCCCAUCCCCAGCUCUAGUCCCAUCCCCAGCUCAGACCUAGUCCCAGCCCUAGUCCCAUCCCCAGCUCAGACCUAGUCCCAUCCCCAGCUCAGACAUAGUCCCAUCCCCAGCCCUAGUCCCAUCCCCAGCUCUAGUCCCAUCCCCAGCUCAGACAUAGUCCCAUCCCCAGCUCAGACCUAGUCCCAUCCCCAGCCCUAGUCCCAUCCCCAGCCCUAGUCCCAUCCCCAGCCCUAGUCCCAUCCCCAGCUCAGACAUAGUCCCAUCCCCAGCUCAGCCCUAGUCCCAUCUCCAGCUCAGCCUUAGUCCCAUCCCCAGCUCAGCCUUAGUUCCAUCCCCAGCUCAGCCCUAGUCCCAUCCCCAGUCCUAGUCCCAUCCCCAGCCCUAGUCCCAUCCCCAGACCUAGGACCAUCCCCAGCUCAGACCUAGUCCCAUCCCCAGUCCUAGUCCCAUCCCCAGCUCAGACCUAGUCCCAUCCCCAGCUCAGACCUAGUCCCAUCCACAGCCCUAGUCCCAUCCCCAGCCCUAGUCCCAGCCCUACUCCCAUCCCCAGCUCAGACCUAGUCCCAUCCCCAGUUUAGCCCUAGUCCCAUCCCCAGUUUAGCCCUAGUCCCAUCCCCAGCUCUAGUCCCAUCCCCAGCCCUAGUCCCAUCUCCAGCUCAGACCUAGUCCCAUCCCCAGCCCUAGUCCCAUCCCCAGCUCUAGUCCCAUCCCCAGCUCAGACCUAGUCCCAUCCCCAGCCCUAGUCCCAUCCCCAGCCCUAGUCCCAUCCCCAGCCCUAGUCCCAUCCCCAGCUCUAGUCCCAUCCCCAGCUCAGACCUAGUCCCAUCCCCAGCCCUAGUCCCAUCCCCAGCUCAGACCUAGUCCCAUCCCCAGCCCUAGUCCCAUCCCCAGCUCAGCCCCUAUUAAAUGUCAUUAGUCUGAGUCAUACGUAUGAAUGUAUUGAUUAGAUGCAGAGAUGGGAUGCAGGGAUCCAUUGAAGAGAUUUACCAGGUGGAACAAAGUCAUGUAAUCAAUCACCAUUCUCCCAGGAGGCUACUGACCUGGGCAACCUGCUCUACACGACACUGAGCCAUUCAUAAGGGCUGAGUCCCAAAUGGGACCAUAUUCCCUAUAUAAUGCACUACGUUUGACCAGGGCCACAUGGGCCAUUAGGGAGUUAUUGAGGGUAGGGAUGAGAAUAGACUACAUUGUAUACUGUUUUGGUUUCAAUAAUAUAAACCUCUUAUGAAAUGUUUUUUAUAUCACCCACUGCACAGGGCCUUUCUCAAGGGUUUGGUCUUUUUAACUAUUAAACCAUGGCAGCUGCUGCUAGCCCUUUUGAAUGCCUUGUUUUAUGUGUUAUUUUUAUCUUAACUCUGAGACAGUCACAUUGGUCUUAAGACAAUCCCUUCAGUCCCGGGGUGAUUCUAUUGUUAGAACUGUAGCACAUUGGUCUUAAGACAAUCCCUUCAGUCCCGGGGUGAUUCUAUUGUUAGAACUGUAGCACAUUGGUCUUAAGACAAUCCCUUCAGUCCCGGGGUGAUUCUAUUGUUAGAACUGUAGCACAUUGGUCUUAAGACAAUCCCUUCAGUCCCGGGGUGAUUCUAUUGUUAGAACUGUAGCACAUUGGUCUUA
Oncorhynchus tshawytscha (Chinook salmon) is the source of this 2851-nucleotide long non-coding RNA. NCBI's taxonomy places the organism in Eukaryota, Metazoa, Chordata, Actinopteri, Salmoniformes, Salmonidae. The record is from Ensembl.